UGGGGAAUAUUGCACAAUGGGCGCAAGCCUGAUGCAGCCAUGCCGCGUGUGUGAAGAAGGCCUUCGGGUUGUAAAGCACUUUCAGCGAGGAGGAAGGGUAGUGUGUUAAUAGCACAUUGCAUUGACGUUACUCGCAGAAGAAGCACCGGCUAACUCCGUGCCAGCAGCCGCGGCAAUACGGAGGGGGCAAGCGUUAAUCGGGAUUACUGGGCGUAAAGCGCACGCAGGCGGUUUGUUAAGUCAGAUGUGAAAUCCCCGCGCUUAACGUGGGAACUGCAUUUGAAACUGGCAAGCUAGAGUCUUGUAGAGGGGGGUAGAAUUCCAGGUGUAGCGGUGAAAUGCGUAGAGAUCUGGAGGAAUACCGGUGGCGAAGGCGGCCCCCUGGACAAAGACUGACGCUCAGGUGCGAAAGCGUGGGGAGCAAACA
This 427-nucleotide ribosomal RNA is filed under the name uncultured bacterium. RNAcentral describes it as "partial 16S ribosomal RNA". It matches the Rfam family "Bacterial small subunit ribosomal RNA", at positions 355 to 774 of the family's 1533-position model. The record is from RNAcentral.